Molecule: long non-coding RNA, 342 nt
Organism: Cyprinus carpio carpio
Lineage: Eukaryota; Metazoa; Chordata; Actinopteri; Cypriniformes; Cyprinidae
Source: Ensembl
UGAAGAUAUCGCCUGCUACGUGUGCAUUAAACCUUUCAUUUCCAAAGCCGUUCUCAGGUCUCAGCGGCAGAAGGAACGGUGGCAGGGAAAUCCCACGGGAACCACACGGAUGCUUUGAGAACGUCUGAUGCACAGAGACGGCGAGACUCACCUGGCUAUUGUGCAUUCUCUGCUCAUUUCAAAGCACUUGAUGGCUCUAAACCGGCACAGUGUCCAAACUUGACAUUCAACCGAUGUUUCUGUGGCAACCAGAAGAGAGUGAAUCAUGUGGAUUAUGAGGAGGCCGACUGAACCGAGGAACUCGCUGCUUCAUCCGAGAGCAGAGCAGAUCAUACAUUUACU